AGUGAACGCUGGCGGUAGGCCUAACACAUGCAAGUCGAACGGCAGCACAGUAAGAGCUUGCUCUUACGGGUGGCGAGUGGCGGACGGGUGAGGAAUACAUCGGAAUCUACUUUUUCGUGGGGGAUAACGUAGGGAAACUUACGCUAAUACCGCAUACGACCUACGGGUGAAAGCAGGGGAUCUUCGGACCUUGCGCGAUUGAAUGAGCCGAUGUCGGAUUAGCUAGUUGGCGGGGUAAAGGCCCACCAAGGCGACGAUCCGUAGCUGGUCUGAGAGGAUGAUCAGCCACACUGGAACUGAGACACGGUCCAGACUCCUACGGGAGGCAGAAGUGGGGAAUAUUGGACAAUGGGCGCAAGCCUGAUCCAGCCAUACCGCGUGGGUGAAGAAGGCCUUCGGGUUGUAAAGCCCUUUUGUUGGGAAAGAAAAACAGCAGGUUAAUACCCCGCUGUUCUGACGGUACCCAAAGAAUAAGCACCGGCUAACUUC
This 489-nucleotide ribosomal RNA is filed under the name uncultured bacterium. RNAcentral describes it as "partial 16S ribosomal RNA". It matches the Rfam family "Bacterial small subunit ribosomal RNA", at positions 29 to 504 of the family's 1533-position model. The record is from RNAcentral.